This 556-nucleotide long non-coding RNA is filed under the name Lepidothrix coronata (blue-crowned manakin). Its description in RNAcentral is "lncRNA (ENSLCOG00000001037.1)". Lineage: Eukaryota; Metazoa; Chordata; Aves; Passeriformes; Pipridae. The record is from RNAcentral.
AGGUGUCCCUGCCCAUGGCAGGGGGGCGGAACAAAAUGAUCUUUAAGGUCCCUUCUGACCCAAACCAUCCAUGAUUCUCUAACACAAGGUUUUCCCUCCCUUGCAGAAACCUGCUCCUCCAAAGCCAGAGCCCAAACCUAAAAAGGCAGCUCCAAAGAAGAGCGAGAAGGUGCCCAAGGGGAAGAAAGGAAAAGCUGAUGCUGGCAAGGAGGGAAACAACCCUGCAGAAAACGGAGAUGCCAAAACAGACCAGGCGCAGAAAGCCGAAGGUGCUGGUGAAGCCAAGUAAAAACGUGUGAAUUUUUGAUAACUGUGUACUUCUGGUGACUGUACAGUUUGAAAUACUAUUUUUUAUCAAGUUUUAUAACAAUGCAGAAUUUUGGUUUACUUUUUUUUAAGCUAUGUUGUUAGCACACAGACCGCUUCGUUGUUGUGUUUUGGGGGGAGGGUGGAGGGGUGGGGGGGGGGGGCAGGGGGGGCAAAUGUCAUUUAGUCUAUUUCUCAAAACCUAAAUUUUAAUAAGAAAAGCUUUUUCCAGUCCCCCAGUUUUUUGGAA